ACAGGUAUGUGGAUAAAUAGUGACUAUUAUCUUAAUAUUAUCUCAUCAGAAGGGCCAAUAUAGAGGAGAAAUAAUGGUCACCGUUUGUUGCUAUCAUCAUUAGGGUUGCAAGUGGAUGAAUACAUCUGCUUUCAAUCUGGAAACAAUCCAGAAUUAAUUCAGUAUAAAUGGAACCAAAGUUAUUAUUUAGAUUAGGCUUGAUUUCAAAAACAUGACCUAUCUCAAAUAUGAAUUGGAUUUGGAUUAUCAAAUCACAC
RNAcentral lists this long non-coding RNA (257 nucleotides) under Elaeis guineensis (African oil palm). Its description in RNAcentral is "long non-coding RNA (EGUI_LNC030192)". Lineage: Eukaryota; Viridiplantae; Streptophyta; Magnoliopsida; Arecales; Arecaceae. The record is from RNAcentral.